Flavobacterium sp. ABG is the source of this 70-nucleotide non-coding RNA. The record is from Rfam. NCBI's taxonomy places the organism in Bacteria, Pseudomonadati, Bacteroidota, Flavobacteriia, Flavobacteriales, Flavobacteriaceae.
AUAAUGUGGAGUCCUGAACCCACUUUAAAAAACGGGGCGAGUACUGAAAAGCCAUACGAGUAAGACCAAU